This 2236-nucleotide ribosomal RNA is filed under the name Salmonella enterica. RNAcentral describes it as "partial 23S ribosomal RNA". It matches the Rfam family "Bacterial large subunit ribosomal RNA", at positions 582 to 2803 of the family's 2925-position model. Lineage: Bacteria; Pseudomonadati; Pseudomonadota; Gammaproteobacteria; Enterobacterales; Enterobacteriaceae. The record is from RNAcentral. RNAcentral also lists the same sequence under 1 other name.
CCCUUUGGGUGUGACUGCGUACCUUUUGUAUAAUGGGUCAGCGACUUAUAUUCUGUAGCAAGGUUAACCGAAUAGGGGAGCCGGAGGGAAACCGAGUCUUAACCGGGCGUUAAGUUGCAGGGUAUAGACCCGAAACCCGGUGAUCUAGCCAUGGGCAGGUUGAAGGUUGGGUAACACUAACUGGAGGACCGAACCGACUAAUGUUGAAAAAUUAGCGGAUGACCUGUGGCUGGGGGUGAAAGGCCAAUCAAACCGGGAGAUAGCUGGUUCUCCCCGAAAGCUAUUUAGGUAGCGCCUCGUGAAUUCAUCUCCGGGGGUAGAGCACUGUUUCGGCUAGGGGGCCAUCCCGGCUUACCAACCCGAUGCAAACUGCGAAUACCGGAGAAUGUUAUCACGGGAGACACACGGCGGGUGCUAACGUCCGUCGUGAAGAGGGAAACAACCCAGACCGCCAGCUAAGGUCCCAAAGUCAUGGUUAAGUGGGAAACGAUGUGGGAAGGCCCAGACAGCCAGGAUGUUGGCUUAGAAGCAGCCAUCAUUUAAAGAAAGCGUAAUAGCUCACUGGUCGAGUCGGCCUGCGCGGAAGAUGUAACGGGGCUAAACCAUGCACCGAAGCUGCGGCAGCGACACUGUGUGUUGUUGGGUAGGGGAGCGUUCUGUAAGCCUGUGAAGGUGUGUCGUGAGGCAUGCUGGAGGUAUCAGAAGUGCGAAUGCUGACAUAAGUAACGAUAAAGCGGGUGAAAAGCCCGCUCGCCGGAAGACCAAGGGUUCCUGUCCAACGUUAAUCGGGGCAGGGUGAGUCGACCCCUAAGGCGAGGCCGAAAGGCGUAGUCGAUGGGAAACGGGUUAAUAUUCCCGUACUUGGUGUUACUGCGAAGGGGGGACGGAGAAGGCUAUGUUGGCCGGGCGACGGUUGUCCCGGUUUAAGCGUGUAGGUGUGUGUUCCAGGUAAAUCCGGUUCACUUUAACACUGAGGCGUGACGACGAGGCACUACGGUGCUGAAGCAACAAAUGCCCUGCUUCCAGGAAAAGCCUCUAAGCAUCAGGUAACAUCAAAUCGUACCCCAAACCGACACAGGUGGUCAGGUAGAGAAUACCAAGGCGCUUGAGAGAACUCGGGUGAAGGAACUAGGCAAAAUGGUGCCGUAACUUCGGGAGAAGGCACGCUGACACGUAGGUGAAGUGAUUUACUCAUGGAGCUGAAGUCAGUCGAAGAUACCAGCUGGCUGCAACUGUUUAUUAAAAACACAGCACUGUGCAAACACGAAAGUGGACGUAUACGGUGUGACGCCUGCCCGGUGCCGGAAGGUUAAUUGAUGGGGUCAGCGCAAGCGAAGCUCCUGAUCGAAGCCCCGGUAAACGGCGGCCGUAACUAUAACGGUCCUAAGGUAGCGAAAUUCCUUGUCGGGUAAGUUCCGACCUGCACGAAUGGCGUAAUGAUGGCCAGGCUGUCUCCACCCGAGACUCAGUGAAAUUGAACUCGCUGUGAAGAUGCAGUGUACCCGCGGCAAGACGGAAAGACCCCGUGAACCUUUACUAUAGCUUGACACUGAACAUUGAGCCUUGAUGUGUAGGAUAGGUGGGAGGCUUUGAAGUGUGGACGCCAGUCUGCAUGGAGCCGACCUUGAAAUACCACCCUUUAAUGUUUGAUGUUCUAACGUGGACCCGUUACCCGGGUUGCGGACAGUGUCUGGUGGGUAGUUUGACUGGGGCGGUCUCCUCCUAAAGAGUAACGGAGGAGCACGAAGGUUGGCUAAUCCUGGUCGGACAUCAGGAGGUUAGUGCAAUGGCAUAAGCCAGCUUGACUGCGAGCGUGACGGCGCGAGCAGGUGCGAAAGCAGGUCAUAGUGAUCCGGUGGUUCUGAAUGGAAGGGCCAUCGCUCAACGGAUAAAAGGUACUCCGGGGAUAACAGGCUGAUACCGCCCAAGAGUUCAUAUCGACGGCGGUGUUUGGCACCUCGAUGUCGGCUCAUCACAUCCUGGGGCUGAAGUAGGUCCCAAGGGUAUGGCUGUUCGCCAUUUAAAGUGGUACGCGAGCUGGGUUUAGAACGUCGUGAGACAGUUCGGUCCCUAUCUGCCGUGGGCGCUGGAGAACUGAGGGGGGCUGCUCCUAGUACGAGAGGACCGGAGUGGACGCAUCACUGGUGUUCGGGUUGUCAUGCCAAUGGCACUGCCCGGUAGCUAAAUGCGGAAGAGAUAAGUGCUGAAAGCAUCUAAGCACGAAACUUGCCCCGAG